RNAcentral lists this unclassified non-coding RNA (221 nucleotides) under plant metagenome. RNAcentral describes it as "partial contains small subunit ribosomal RNA and internal transcribed spacer 1". The stretch from base 1 to 46 matches the Rfam family "Eukaryotic small subunit ribosomal RNA", at positions 1786 to 1831 of the family's 1831-position model. The record is from RNAcentral.
AAGUCGUAACAAGGUUUCCGUAGGUGAACCUGCGGAAGGAUCAUUAAAAUUGCAAGCCGGCGAGAGUCGCGCACCGCAAACCAAUGUGAACUUUACCUGUUGCUUCGCCAGCACCUUUCUUUUGGGGGAAGCUCUUUCCCCAAAAGAAAGGGUAGGUCUGGUAGAGGCUCAACACAAACCAUUUCUGUAAAUUGCAGUCAGUUUUGAGAAAAAUAAUUAAA